AAAUCAGGAGUCAAAUCAAGAACCAAAGGUCUAGGAAGGCAGCUUUAUUGUAGUUUCAGAGUUUCCUCUCAAAAUCUGCAGUGUGCGUACAGUUCACAUUCAUUGCUCACAGAUGAGAGGUCAAGAUGUCCAUCGCCAUUCUCUUCCAGUCUGCUUGCAUAACUUGAACGAGAGCUUGAGACGUUAGAGGCUCAUCAACAAUUAUGAUCAUUCAUGCACAGUCAGUGAGGGUCUACAUUAAAUGUCUCAUUCAAGAUCCCCUAGACCAGCCCAGCUUCAGACCUCCCCCACCUCCUCCUCCCACACUGCCCCUCCUCACCCCCGCCACCCCCAGAAAAUGGCACCAACAAAGUGAAAAUGGAAGAGUUUUGUUGAGCUGUACAGAUUACCUGAACAAGUGUGCAAGGAGAGAAAUGCAUGUUGUGAUCCAGAGGACAAUGAAGAAAUCAGUCUGAUGUGAAAAGAAUACAGGAGAGAAUUGGAGCCAUUGAGCGCUGGGCUCCCACACGUCUGCUUCAAUGGAAAGUUUGGAAGACCUUGGGAUGGGAGAAAUAGAUAGAACAGCAGGGAGGAAAGCCAGAGAAAAAUUCUGCUCUCCCGAGUCUAUUCACAGAGGUAGCCAGGGGUGGGAAUGAGAAAACACCCUGACUUCAUGAGAUUUUUAUUAAGAAGCAGAAGAAGACGUUAAAUAAUGGCUUAUUUGAGUGCACAUCCUCGGCAGGGAAACAACCAAUGAUUGCAGAGAACUAUAUUAUUACUUUGUGUUUGCUUAUCUUUUUCUCUCCUUACCUGAUAAUCAUCUGUAGCUCUAUCUGUCUUUUUAAGGACAUGUAAGAAAAUAGAGAAGGUUACAGAGGACAGUCAAAGAAUUGCAUAUUAUUACCUGGCUUUCCAGAGCUGACUGUGCAAUUGUUUGUUUUUGAUGAGAUAACAAUGAAGAUAGAAUUGUUCAAAGCAAAUGCUGCUCACAUUUCAUCAAGCCAUACCUCACUGCCCCACUCUCACGUACAGCUGCCCCUCCCACCACCAAAGGCUCUCAGGGACACUAGAGCCACUGCCAAUGGAGUGACUGGUGAGAGCACAAAGCCUGUUGUUCACACCCAUCUGGGUCCAAGAGAAGAGAUGGCCUUCCCCCAGAAGCUGGAUCCCGACUCUCCCUUCCAUAGAUGCAAGGCCGCCUGUCGGGUGCUUGAGUUGGUGACAAGAGCUCCAGAGUGGCUGUCAGGAAGGCGAUCAUGUGACGGAUCCUCCGCGUAAGCUCCAGCCCUUUCUCCAGGCUCGCCCUCUGACAGUUAUUACUGCUGCAAUAAAUUCUUCAGUAAAACAAACA
Molecule: long non-coding RNA, 1330 nt
Filed under: Vulpes vulpes (red fox)
Lineage: Eukaryota; Metazoa; Chordata; Mammalia; Carnivora; Canidae
Description: lncRNA (ENSVVUG00000028366.1)
Source: RNAcentral